This 82-nucleotide transfer RNA is filed under the name Felis catus (domestic cat). It matches the Rfam family "tRNA". From Rfam's summary of the family: Transfer RNA (tRNA) molecules are approximately 80 nucleotides in length. Their secondary structure includes four short double-helical elements and three loops (D, anti-codon, and T loops). Further hydrogen bonds mediate the characteristic L-shaped molecular structure. tRNAs have two regions of fundamental functional importance: the anti-codon, which is responsible for specific mRNA codon recognition, and the 3' end, to which the tRNAs corresponding amino acid is attached (by aminoacyl-tRNA synthetases). tRNAs cope with the degeneracy of the genetic code in two manners: having more than one tRNA (with a specific anti-codon) for a particular amino acid; and 'wobble' base-pairing, i.e. permitting non-standard base-pairing at the 3rd anti-codon position. RNAcentral also lists the same sequence under 2 other names. Lineage: Eukaryota; Metazoa; Chordata; Mammalia; Carnivora; Felidae. The record is from Rfam by way of RNAcentral.
GCUCAGUUGGUUGAGCAUCCAACUCUUGAUUUCAGCUCAGGUCACAAUCCCAGGGUCGUGGGAUCGAGCCCCACAUUGGGCC